Molecule: long non-coding RNA, 363 nt
Organism: Phasianus colchicus (ring-necked pheasant)
Lineage: Eukaryota; Metazoa; Chordata; Aves; Galliformes; Phasianidae
Source: Ensembl
AUGCGCGUGUAUGCAGCUUGGCAUCAUGGAAAGUACCUUUCUGCUGAAACAGCAUUUUCAGUGGGAUUACAGGAAGAUAUCAUAGAGAAGGAAAAGAACCGAAGAGAAGGAGGCUCUGAAAGAAAAAUGGCUGAAACAACCAGCAGCAUGGAGGAGAGCUCAGCACAUUUUAGUCACUGCAACUUCCGUCACUACAAACCUUUAAGGAUUCAGAACAAUGUUCUUCAACGCUUGCUGAAUUGUCACAACUGUGCUGCAGCUACAGUAUCCACUGUGUACUACACUGAAAGAUACUGCCUGCACAUGCACCUGGAACAUGCUCAAAAGAUGCCAUGCAACUUGGAAGCCCAGAGGCUUUUAUGA